UGUGUCCGUUGAAUUCGAUGAGUACCUCCCCUCAACGAAUGAUUAUGUUUUCCAUGCCCAUCUUUUGAAUUACUGAGUGCUGAAGUAGGUUGACUGCACUUUUGUUAUCAACCAUCAUCCUGUCGAUUAUAACAUGGGCUAGUUGGACACAUACCACCAGUGUGUCGUCGUGCGGGAAGUCGACACCUUUGGCAUCCUGCUUGAUGAAGCCAACAAUGGGUCUAGGUUGGGUGUUGACUGCCUGGACCUACGAGACCAGUAGAGCUUGUUGGAUCUUCAUCUUCUUAUAAUUAUUAGUGGCUCUCAGGUUGGGUGUUGACAUUAAUCCGAAUCGUCUUGUUGGGCGGCUCUUCGUCGGCAUCUGUAUUCCUUCUAGGCCGUGCAGCUGGCAUGUCCAACUAUAUGUCGACCUUAUCUUCCUUUACAAGUUUUUGUAGGUAAUUUUUCCAAGUAUAACAGUCGUCGGUUGUGUAACCAGGACCGUGGUCGAAUGCACAAUACUUGGUGUGGUCUAUCUUGGAAGUAUCUCCCUUCGAUUGUUUCGGCAGCUUGAACCAUGGUUCGCUUUUGAUGCCACGAAGGAUUUGGUGGAUCGGGAUCGAGAACUUUGAGUAGUUCUUAGACGUCGAGCCUCCUUUUGUUGGGGAUCAGUCCCUACACUUGGCCCCCUGCUUGCUUUUGUUGUUGUACUAUUUUUUGUCCUCCUUCUUUUGAGCUAAUAUGGACUUUUUUUGAGGCUGCUCUGGUGCCUUGUCUGCUCGUCGAGCCUCAUCCCAAAGUGCAUACUUUUCUGCCAUAGCAAAAGAGUCUGUCAUAGUUAGUUCUUUCAUAAUCAAUUCUCCAAACAACGGGUGAUCUGCUAUGAGUCAUUUUUCGAAAACUGCACUUACUAUCGAGUCAUCGCAUCUUACUAUCUUCACAUUCUCUUAUUUGAACCUCUUCACAUAGUCGUGAAACGACUUCUUUAGAUUCUUCUUCACAUUGAACAAAUGGUCGGACUUCUUCUUGAUCGAGUGGUAAGAUGAGUAUUCUUUGGUGAAAACUAAGGAAAGCUCAUCAAAACUUCUUAUGGAUCAUGGCAGUAGGGUGUGGAAUCAAUCUUGCACCUCGUCUUACAAAGUUGUUUCGAUAAAUGACCAUCGUGCUUCGGUAAUGCUUUAAGUGUCUCUCCAGAUCUUCAUCUCAUUUGAAAGACAUGGAGGCUCUGCCUACUCGAUCUCAUCCGUGAAGGGUGACCUGCUCAUUUGGUCAUGUCCCGUCGUAGUGCUUCAUUGGUGACCUCGUUGAGUUGGAAAUCAUGCAAUCACACGGUCAAGAGCCUCGUUACUUCUUCAUGAAUUUGCCUUUAUUGGAGGUACCAGAGCUCUUGGCUGCUCUAGGUCUUGACCUGCUGGUCUAGGCUGCUCUUUUAUGUGCUCGGCUCGUCUAUGCCACGAUUGCGGUGCAUGUGACACAUCCUUAGCAGGUGAGUGGAUUCCUCGCGGGCUGCUGGUUAAAUUUGAGCUGGAAUAAGUGAUUACUUUUCUCCAUCUGUGGUGCUGCCUACUUUGAUGUGAGGUGAAUGAUGCUUCUUACAUGCCUAGGUGCGAAUGAACACUUCGUCUGGAAGGUUGCUUAUGUUGAUUAUCGAAGUGUGGUUUCAACCGUGAGUGUAUGCUCAUUCGUGGGCCUAACCAAGAAUGCACGCUCCUCCGCAUGCUAAGACGAGAGUAUACACUAUCUCGGGGACCCGGUCGGGA
Molecule: long non-coding RNA, 1739 nt
Filed under: Malus domestica (apple)
Lineage: Eukaryota; Viridiplantae; Streptophyta; Magnoliopsida; Rosales; Rosaceae
Description: long non-coding RNA (MDOM_LNC005509)
Source: RNAcentral